AAGUCACGUUCAAACUGAAAAACGAAUUGCAUGUUCAUCAAAUAGCUUUAUUUUGUCUCACUUCAAACGAAACAUGCGUGAUUUUCAAAUAAAAUAAAAUUUCUCGGGGCGAAUGUGAUAGAAUUCUUUUUCAAGGAAGAUAAGGAAAUAUUAACAGUAAGAUCAUUUUUCUACGAUGAAUCUUCGGCUUUUUCCGGUAAAAUUCGUUGUUCACCGGGACGAUGAUAAGUGAUGUGUGGAAACGAGGUUUAACGUACAAAGCGCGGCCCACGAGGUUGUAAGGUACGACUUGAGGGUGAAUGGCAACAAGUAGAUGUAGUGAACUGCUUUAAAAUAUUGCUUACUUUUGUGCGUGAUAUCUGUUCAAGACCUCAACUGCUCGUUAGAAAAGCGUAGACUCAUACUACGCGCUGUUUCGCCCCAUUUUUAAAUGGGGUGAAACUUAAAAGUCUCAAGGUCGUUUCCAAGAUGGCGCUCCAGCUCCCCUAUUGAUAACCGACGCAAGGUGAAAACUCCAGACAACUCUUCCUAAAAGAGAAAGGUCAAAGUGAAUAACAGUUCAGAGAAAGGCAAACCGGUCAGUGGUGCAUUUCAUGAGCCAAUGCAGGAUGUGUCCGACAAGAUUUGAGGGUAGAUUUUACUGGGUGUGCUGUCAUCGUUGUUUUCAUCGUCACAUCAUGCUAGAAAAGCUGCCCUGGAUUCUUACUCUCAAUUUACCUUGAACAAAGGAGCUUUUGAAUGGAGAAACUUGCAAAGCUUGGUGUGGUUUUCUUUUGGGGGAGUGAAUGGCAUAAGAAAUUUGCACAGCUUUUAUUUUUGUGGUUCCUAUUUGUGUUUGUAAUGAGGUACACUGCCAAGACCUAACCAAGCAAGGUUUUUGAGAAUACCAGUGGUUUAAAGCAGGCAGGUUAAAGAUCAGAAGUUGAGGCACUGUCAUGGUUGUGAUUUGGGAUCAAGUGUUAUGCUCCUUUAGUUUACAAGGUAAUUACAGGGCGUGAAAUUGCACCUAAUACAGGCGCCAAUGCGACAAAUUUUUUUACUUUGGCAACCAAAUCCUGAAAAUUAGUUGCCAAAUUGGCAAGUAGAAUGUUUUAUCAUAACCUUACUUAGAGAUAUAGUAAAUUAAAAAGAUUUGCAAAGAUAAAUCCGCAGCAAACUUCCUCGUUAAGUUUGUUUCCAAAACACAGCACAUGCAUCUCAAUUGAUAACUAGAUUUAGGAUGGAUUUAGGCGAGCUUAAACAUUGCAUAUCAUCCAUUCUAUUGUCCACUUUGUAGUACGUUAAAGAUCUUUUCCCUAACUUAAUUUCUAGAACGAUGACAGUGUAAAAAAAAGGGUUUGUUUGACUUUGAAAAUGACAACCAACUUUUUUUUAAUUGGCUACCACUUUGAAUAAUCUAGGAGCCAAGUGGCUAUCAGAAAAAAAAUCAAUUUCACGCCCUGAAUUAUUGUAUUUGCAUUGUGUUUGCAUAUCCUGAAGACUAAAAGUUUGUGGAAAACCAGAGCAGUUGCCUCUCUUAGAGUUCAAGUUCUAUUGUAAAGGGGGCUUUGGUCAAAAAGAAAAAUAAAAGGAAAAUGAAAGUUGUAUUCAUAUUUUUCUAGGUUCAUCAAAUUUGAUUCUGCCAUGGAAAUCAUGGGAACAGAUGGACAAUAAUUUUCUCAGAAUACAUUUAGCAAGGUUGUCUUUGAACAAGAGCUGUGUAACUGGAAUGUCUUGCAACCAAGACUGGGCCUGAUUUCUUCUCUGUAUACUGAUUAAUUCACAGUGAUAAUAAAAUUUUCAAACAGUA
This 1789-nucleotide long non-coding RNA is filed under the name Pocillopora damicornis (cauliflower coral). RNAcentral describes it as "uncharacterized LOC113673572, transcript variant X1". The record is from RNAcentral. Lineage: Eukaryota; Metazoa; Cnidaria; Anthozoa; Scleractinia; Pocilloporidae.